CUUAGGUUUGUUUGGCAUUUCUGUGAGCCAAGGACCAGCUUUAUGUGUCUUUGAGGAACUUUACUACAGUCGUCUCGUGUCCUGCUGAGAGUCUGGAUGGGAACUAAACCUACCCUGAAUUACUGAUGAACUGCAUCACCUCAUACAGGCAUGAAAAGGCCUUCAAACAUGGCAUGGACAUUGAGAACAGCUCGUACAGGUAUCUUCUCACUGUCACUGGGAACGAAGUUACAUUUUUAUUCCACAGUUCAAAGAGUUAAAGACUAAGACCAGCCAUUGUGCUUCUUAAACGUCCCACCUUCAAGAUGCAUCAUGAGCAGCGGUGACUUUCCUAGACUUUAAACCUGAAAAUCACACUAAGUACACAAGUAACGAUCGUAGCACCACUGAAAGAGGUGAGGAGGCGUGGUCACU
Long non-coding RNA from Pygocentrus nattereri (red-bellied piranha), 414 nucleotides. RefSeq lists it as uncharacterized. The transcript is spliced from 3 exons. The record is from RefSeq and is a predicted model, not a curated record. Lineage: Eukaryota; Metazoa; Chordata; Actinopteri; Characiformes; Serrasalmidae.